CACAUUGCAGGUUGGCAGACACUUCUGGGUUCCUGCUUGGUCGGCGUGGGGAGGGCCCACCCAGGGAGGCCGGGGUGGUCGGGCUCCUCAGCAGGGUCCCCGGGUAGGGGGUACCGCAGGCCACAGCAUGGCCUCUCACUAUCCCAAACCCUCCAUCCCUGAGUUGAUGCAGGGUGGCCCUGACCCGUGAGCCUGGGCAAGGGGACGCUGGAGCCUGGGCGAGGGGAUGCUGCAGCCAGGGUGAGGACGCAGACCCCUGAGGAAGCCGGCCUGAGUCACGUGGGCCUGGAAUCCAACACAUUCCCAGGGGGCUCUCGUUCCUGUCCUUUGGAAACACCUCUCCCGGAACCAGCCAGCACUGAGGCUGAGGCAUCCACCAGCCCUCAGGGGCCCCUGAUCUGGCUGAGACACAAGCCCCACCUGGGUAUAGGAAGCCCUGGCAGCCCCUGAAGAACCUGGGUUGAGAGGGAGCCCCCUGGGUUUUCGGGACACAAGGUAUCGCAGCACCAAAUCUAUAUAUGCACCCAAUGAUCAGGCGUCAAAAUAAAAACACUGAUAGAAAUGGAGAAGGAGUGAUGGACAUGUCCCCGUUCUAGUAGGCUGCCUGAAUGCAGGCAAAAACCAGCAAGCACGCUGGAGGCAGGGCAGCCGUGGCCACCUGACACGCACGGCUGCCUGACAUGCACGGAGCCUGGCCCCUUUCUCGACGGAGCACACGCCGUUCAGACGUGUGCAGAACAUUUACCAAAACCAACCAGGGCUGCACCACGUGCAGCCACUGCAGAGUCCCCAGGACCGAGACCACUCGGUGUGUUUUCAACCACCAGGACAUUAAACAGGAAGUCAGUCAUGAAAAUAGACCCGUGAGAAACAGUCGCCUUGAAAUUAAACAAGAUACAAUCAUCAAGUCAGUCAAACAAGAAAUUGCAAUGGAAUUUAUAAAACGGACUUAGAGAAUGAAAAUACUGAGGGAAGAGAAAAGGAAAAGUCAGUGAGGCCGACAGCCAAGGCUGGUCUUUGGAGAAACAGCCUGAAAUGUCACAGCCACAGGCAGAGAGAGAGCUGCCAGGCAAAACCAAGCUGCGGCAGCACUGGUGAGUCGGGGGGAGGGAGGGCAGCAGAGAAGCCUUCGUUCUCCAGGUCAUCAGCCGGCUGCCAGGGAAAGUUUCCUCCCCUUUUCAGGCAUGAACACGGUGGGCUCCGAGGGAACCUGCAUGGGUUGUGGGAGGGGGUGGGGGCUUAUCCAAAACACACCCACAGCUGCACAAACAAGAGAGGCUGCGCUUUGUGCUCCCUAAAGACACACCCGCAGCGGCACAGAUAAGGAAGUCACAAGAACAGCGAAAGAGACCAGCGGACUUUCUUAUCAAAGCGUUUGGAUUCAACUGUGAAAAUGGCAGCCCACUCGGGCCCCCUCUCCGCCACAGAGAGCUUUUUUCUUUCACUUAUUAAACUUUCGCUGCAACUUCUCCCUGUGUCCACGCGCCUUAAUUUUCUGGGUUGUGAGACGAUGGACAACGAGCUCGGAUAACACCUUAGACAACGUGACCAGCAACCCUAGACCGUGUCGAUCCUACGUAUCAAAACUUGGGAGACUAAAACGGGGGUUAGAGGAAAAAUACAGCCUUGAAUACAAGAAAAAACCCAGAAAAACCUUGAUUUAAGCUUUGAUUUCAAGAAGCUGGACAACAACAUAAAUCAUAUCUAAGGACAGCAAAAGGCAGGUACGUCCCGGCCUGGCCUGCAUGGGGCGGGGGCCGCGGAAGAACCCUGCGCCCUCCACACGGGACUUGACGUCUGCUCUGCCCUGGCCCCUCCUCGCUGGAGCACCAUCAGCAGCAUUCAUGGAUGAGGACGCAGCUCACAGGAGGCCCUGCCGACCCUCGCUUCUGGUCCACACCCACCCGCUACCUGAGCAGGCCAAUGGAGGCUGGUUGCAUGCAGAGCCUCGAUUCCAUCAAUUCACUCGAGGCACGGGUGACUGGUGUUGGAGCCAGACUUGGGAUAGAAGCAGGAGCACCUACCGAGGGGCCCGCCUCCCAGUAGCAGUUCUGGGGCUACUACCAAUAAAGCUGCUGCCAACAUUCAUGUGCAAGGUAUCCACAGAUCCUGAUCCACAGACGUGAUGGGGGAGUAUCUGAUCCCUGUUAUUCCAUUUCAGCUAGAAGCAGAAGUCAGCUGGCUUGUAAGGUAAGUUACAGUGGGGUUU
Molecule: long non-coding RNA, 2209 nt
Filed under: Homo sapiens (human)
Lineage: Eukaryota; Metazoa; Chordata; Mammalia; Primates; Hominidae
Description: HSALNT0360771
Source: RNAcentral